Molecule: ribosomal RNA, 228 nt
Filed under: uncultured bacterium
Lineage: Bacteria
Description: partial 16S ribosomal RNA
Rfam family: Bacterial small subunit ribosomal RNA
Source: RNAcentral
GAUCAUGGCUCAGGUUGAACGCUAGCGACAGGCUUAACACAUGCAAGUCGAGGGGCAGCGGGGUGUAGCAAUACACCGCCGGCGACCGGCGCACGGGUGAGUAACGCGUAUGCAACUUGCCUAUCAGAGGGGGAUAACCCGGCGAAAGUCGGACGAAUACCGCAUGAAGCAGGGAUCCCGCAUGGGAAUAUUUGCUAAAGAUUCAUCGCUGAUAGAUAGGCAUGCGUU